GUGAGGAAUAUUGGUCAAUGGGCGGGAGCCUGAACCAGCCAAGUCGCGUGAAGGAAGAAGGAUCUAUGGUUCGUAAACUUCUUUUGCAGGGGAAUAAAGUGCAGGACGUGUCCUGUUUUGUAUGUACCCUGAGAAUAAGGAUCGGCUAACUCCGUGCCAGCAGCCGCGGUAAUACGGAGGAUCCGAGCGUUAUCCGGAUUUAUUGGGUUUAAAGGGUGCGUAGGUGGUUUGAUAAGUCAGCGGUGAAAGUUUGCAGCUUAACUGUAAAAAUGCAGUUGAAACUGUCGGACUUGAGUGUAAAUGCGGUAGGCGGAAUGUGUUGUGUAGCGGUGAAAUGCAUAGAUAUAACACAGAACACCAAUUGCGAAGGCAGCUUACUGGGAUGCAACUGACGCUGAGGCACGAAAGCGUGGGGAUCAAACAGGAUUAGAUACCCUGGUAGUCC
RNAcentral lists this ribosomal RNA (445 nucleotides) under uncultured bacterium. RNAcentral's name for it is "partial 16S ribosomal RNA". It matches the Rfam family "Bacterial small subunit ribosomal RNA", at positions 354 to 796 of the family's 1533-position model. The record is from RNAcentral.